CCAAUUGCGAAGGCAGCUUUCUGGAUCAUUACUGACACUGAGGAACGAAAGCAUGGGUAGCGAAGAGGAUUAGAUACCCUCGUAGUCCAUGCCGUAAACGAUGUGUGUUAGACGUUGGAAAUUUAUUUUCAGUGUCGCAGCAAAAGCGAUAAACACACCGCCUGGGGAGUACGACCGCAAGGUUAAAACUCAAAUGAAUUGACGGGGACCCGCACAAGUAGUGGAGCAUGUGGUUUAAUUCGAAGAUACGCGCAGAACCUUACCAACACUUGACAUGUUCGUCGCGACUCUAAGAGAUUAGAGUUUUCGGUUCGGCCGGACGAAACACAGGUGCUGCAUGGCUGUCGUCAGCUCGUGUCGUGAGAUGUUGGGUUAAGUCCCGCAACGAGCGCAACCCUCACUUUUAGUUGCCAUCAUUUAGUUGGGCACUCUGAAAGAACUGCCAGUGAUAAGCUGGAGGAAGGUGGGGAUGACGUCAAGUCCUCAUGGCCCUUACGUGUUGGGCUACACACGUGCUACAAUGGUAUCUACAACAGGAAGCAAGACGGCGACGUCAAGCAAAUCCUUAAAAGAUACCUCAGUUCGGAUUGCACUCUGCAACUCGAGUGCAUGAAGCUGGAAUUACUAGUAAUCGUGGAUCAGCGUGCCACGGUGAAUGCGUUCCCGGGUCUUGUACACACCGCCCGUCACACCAUGGGAGUUGGUUCUACCUUAAGGCAAGGUUUUAAACCCUUGACCACGGUAUAGUCAGCGACUGGGGUGAAGUCGUAACAAGGUAGCCGUAGGGGAACCUGCGGCUG
This 800-nucleotide ribosomal RNA is filed under the name marine metagenome. RNAcentral describes it as "bacterial SSU rRNA". It matches the Rfam family "Bacterial small subunit ribosomal RNA", at positions 708 to 1520 of the family's 1533-position model. The record is from RNAcentral.